GCGCCUGUGGCAGCACAAUGGGUCAGUGUGUCUGGCAGCUAACCAGAAGGUUGGUGGCUUGAGCCCACCCAGGGACA
This is a non-coding RNA of Podarcis lilfordi (Lilford's wall lizard), 77 nucleotides long. Lineage: Eukaryota; Metazoa; Chordata; Lepidosauria; Squamata; Lacertidae. The record is from the annotation of a GenBank genome assembly.